Betta splendens (Siamese fighting fish) is the source of this 1059-nucleotide long non-coding RNA. RefSeq lists it as uncharacterized. The record is from RefSeq and is a predicted model, not a curated record. The transcript has 2 exons. Lineage: Eukaryota; Metazoa; Chordata; Actinopteri; Anabantiformes; Osphronemidae.
CCGGGCCGCGGCAGGGAGGACCCGUCCAAGCGCUCCGCUCAGAAAGUCCCUCCGCUCGGAGCCAAGUGCUAUUGGAAGCCUCCCGCUCGACAGGUCCGAGGGCGGAGGACGUGAGCAGCUCCAUCGUCCUCACAGCGGAUCCUCGAAGAGGUCCGCGUGGGGGUCGUGCAGUGAUGUAAGGAGGCGGAAAAUAAGCAGGUACUGUAGAGCUCAGCGAUGGACACGAGGCCCAGAGUGCACGGCUUCACUGCGACAUAAGAUCCACCAGAGCCUUUUAAAGCAGCCCCUGUGGUGGACUCUGCUGUUCCACCCCGCCCGGGGUCCUUCGGCCAAGUCUCGCGGCUGGCGAGCGGCCAGUUUGUGCUACGUCAGUUCGGAUCAAGUCAACGAUGGCAGAAUUAAGCCCCGACAGACAACGAGACUAUUCUCAGCCUUUUCGUGCUCACCCCAGCUCCUCGGCUGAAACCUCAUCCCGCUUGCUGACAUUUCGUAACUUUCGUCGCACCUCAGGAGAGCAGCCGCACUUUAAACCCAAUUACUAUUGUUUCCCAGAAAUUCCACAGCCCCCGUGAAGCCAUCAGACCUCAUUAAAGCCAGGUCACCUACGAACAGGCCGCGAGGAGCUGACUACUGCAGUUUCACAUGGAUGUCAAGACACGAAAAAAAAAAAAAGGUUGAAGACGUUUGCAAAUAUCUCAGAUGGGUGAAAGGGUAAAGUCCAGUUCAUAACAUGCAGUGAGCAGCACUAGCACUAAAUGAGAUUCUAUUACCUACAUCUAGAUUUCUGCAUUCUUUUAUUUUUACCCUGAAAGAUCUGAUUUACACAAAGAGUGUAGAGCUGAGUGCUUCAGUCUGCUCUCUGCCUGUAAUGAGGCUCGGUCUACGUCCUGGAACUCAUUGACCUUGUGUUUCCUCACACACUGAAGGAGAAAUGAUCUCAAGUGUCCAUGAGUCUAACAACCUCCCCACGCUACAGCCUCCAGUCUAAUCUGAAUAAAGAAUCAGCAAUCAAUGUUUUUACAGUGGAAAGUAAAUGAAUGCUUGAUUCAUACCCUGGUC